This is a long non-coding RNA of Pristis pectinata (smalltooth sawfish), 678 nucleotides long. RefSeq lists it as uncharacterized. The transcript has 3 exons. NCBI's taxonomy places the organism in Eukaryota, Metazoa, Chordata, Chondrichthyes, Rhinopristiformes, Pristidae. The record is from RefSeq and is a predicted model, not a curated record.
GCUUUGGCUCAAGAGGCUUCAGUGAGAAGAGGUGAAGAGCCACGUGGCAGCAGGUGAACGACAGCCAGCUCAAGUUCAAGCUUCUCUGAACCGGAAGAAGUAACAAAUUCCCUUCAACCUCAAGGGUCCACCUCAGAUGGGAAGUAGGAUCGACUGUGUUAGGAAAACUGCAGUUGAAGGGACAAUCAUCAGGCUGAAUACUUUAGCUAAGCAAAUUACUGGAGAUCUAAAGCAAAAGCAGAAAGUGCUGGAGACAUCAACAUCUGUGAUGCUGCCCGAUUGUGUGUCUGCAGUAUUUUCUGCUAUAAGAAUGGGAGUUCACCACCCAGCGGCUGAGAAAGAACCCAAGCUUUUCUGGCGAGGAGAAAAAGGAACUCGAGGCAGAUUGAGGAACAUGUGGAAGGAGAAAGUCUCGGCAUUUUACCGAAUCAACAGAAAGCAGUAAGUGGGAGUGAUGAAUCAUCUAAACUGUUCACUUGCCAGCAAAAUGUAAACACAGUGAAUGUGACAUAAAUCCUGGAACUCCCUCCUCAACUGCCCUGAGGGCCUUCACCAGAACCCUGCUCACCAGUGGCGUGCUCUGCUCCUUCACAAGAAGGCAGAUGACCACCAGCUUCUCUUGGGCACCAGAGAUGGUCAAUAAACAUUGGGUCAAUGGCAAGGAGGUCCAAGGUGAGG